RNAcentral lists this ribosomal RNA (125 nucleotides) under uncultured archaeon. Its description in RNAcentral is "partial 16S ribosomal RNA". The record is from RNAcentral.
UCGGAUCUGCCGUAGUGUGAUAGGGGAUCCCGAGUGCUUAUCGCAAUUGUGUAGGCUUUUGCCAAAAUCAAAACCUUUGGCGAAUAAGUGGUGGGUAAGACUGGUGCCAGCAGCCGCGGUAAAUA